UUUUUACAUUAUUUUUUAGGGAUCGACUGAAAUUCUGGGGUUUAAUCCAAAGCAACUGUUGAUGCACCUUAAAGAAUUCAGAAUCAUUUCCAAGAAAUUAAUCUUGUGGUUUGUUUUGUUUUAAAGGGGCAUCCGAAGACACCAUAAAUUUAAGGUAGGUUCGCGGGACACAAAAGUCGGGUAAUCAUUACUUGGUUUGACCCAAGCAACAAAAACCUUUCUUUUGAAUUCUCCAAUUCAAUUCAAGUGCAAGCACUCUCCGAGAAUCAGAAAAUAUCACUGUGGUAAUGAUCCUUCCGCAGGUUCACCUACGGAAA
RNAcentral lists this unclassified non-coding RNA (317 nucleotides) under uncultured fungus. RNAcentral describes it as "sequence contains ITS1". Lineage: Eukaryota; Fungi. The record is from RNAcentral.